UAAUGUUCAUUAAGUGUGCAGGCAGUGCAGGACUAAGCAUGCUCAGUGAAAAAGCUUUUCUCCUUUGCCUGUCAAGCCCUAUGUUUGAACUCAUUCCAGAAUGCCGGAUUUACUUUUCACGAAGAAACAGUACCUGGCUGGACUGCAUUUUUCUUUCCCUUCUUAGUCACCGGAAGAUUGGAAACAAUAUUCUUUUGAUGAUCAGUGCACUCUCAGUAAUGCAGUGUGCCUGCAUGCAAGUGUGAACCUUGCAGUAGAGAAGGAAGACAAACUUUGCUACCUGUGAAAUGAAGACUUCUUAGGUAGCAGUGGAAAUGAAAACAAUUCUAUUUAUGAUAUUGAUCACAGGCUCCACAAAUGAGUAACCUGAUGACUUCAGUGGGAAUUGCUCAUAAACAAGAAAGAGAAAGGGUCAUCUGGAUUCUUCUGAAGGCAAGAGUCAAGGCCCAAAGUCUCCAUGAAGGACCUACACAAGGCACAGGAGGAGGAUCUCACCUACUGCCUCUUCUCCAGAGACUCCAUCCCGCACUGAG
Non-coding RNA from Phalacrocorax carbo (great cormorant), 533 nucleotides. Lineage: Eukaryota; Metazoa; Chordata; Aves; Suliformes; Phalacrocoracidae. The record is from RefSeq and is a predicted model, not a curated record.